UUAAGCGACCAAGCGUACACGGUGGAUGCCCUGGCAGUCAGAGGCGAUGAAGGACGUGCUAAUCUGCGAUAAGCGCCGGUAAGGUGAUAUGAACCGUUAUAACCGGCGAUUUCCGAAUGGGGAAACCCAGUGUGAUUCGUCACACUAUCAUUAACUGAAUCCAUAGGUUAAUGAAGCGAACCGGGGGAACUGAAACAUCUAAGUACCCCGAGGAAAAGAAAUCAACCGAGAUUCCCCCAGUAGCGGCGAGCGAACGGGGAGGAGCCCAGAGCCUGAAUCAGCAUGUGUGUUAGUGGAAGCGUCUGGAAAGGCGCGCGAUACAGGGUGACAGCCCCGUACACAAAAGCGCAUGUGCUGUGAGCUCGAUGAGUAGGGCGGGACACGUGGUAUCCUGUCUGAAUAUGGGGGGACCAUCCUCCAAGGCUAAAUACUCCUGACUGACCGAUAGUGAACCAGUACCGUGAGGGAAAGGCGAAAAGAACCCCGGCGAGGGGAGUGAAACAGAACCUGAAACCGUGUACGUACAAGCAGUGGGAGCACAGGUUUACCUGUGUGACUGCGUACCUUUUGUAUAAUGGGUCAGCGACUUAUAUUCUGUAGCAAGGUUAACCGCAUAGGGGAGCCGAAGGGAAACCGAGUCUUAACCGGGCGUUAAGUUGCAGGGUAUAGACCCGAAACCCGGUGAUCUAGCCAUGGGCAGGUUGAAGGUUGGGUAACACUAACUGGAGGACCGAACCGACUAAUGUUGAAAAAUUAGCGGAUGACCUGUGGCUGGGGGUGAAAGGCCAAUCAAACCGGGAGAUAGCUGGUUCUCCCCGAAAGCUAUUUAGGUAGCGCCUCGUGAACUCAUCUCCGGGGGUAGAGCACUGUUUCGGCUAGGGGGUCAUCCCGACUUACCAACCCGAUGCAAACUGCGAAUACCGGAGAAUGUUAUCACGGGAGACACACGGCGGGUGCUAACGUCCGUCGUGAAGAGGGAAACAACCCAGACCGCCAGCUAAGGUCCCAAAGUCAUGGUUAAGUGGGAAACGAUGUGGGAAGGCCCAGACAGCCAGGAUGUUGGCUUAGAAGCAGCCAUCAUUUAAAGAAAGCGUAAUAGCUCACUGGUCGAGUCGGCCUGCGCGGAAGAUGUAACGGGGCUAAACCAUGCACCGAAGCUGCGGCAGCGACGCUUAUGCGUUGUUGGGUAGGGGAGCGUUCUGUAAGCCGUUGAAGGUGGCCUGUGAGGGUUGCUGGAGGUAUCAGAAGUGCGAAUGCUGACAUAAGUAACGAUAAAGCGGGUGAAAAGCCCGCUCGCCGGAAGACCAAGGGUUCCUGUCCAACGUUAAUCGGGGCAGGGUGAGUCGACCCCUAAGGCGAGGCCGAAAGGCGUAGUCGAUGGGAAACGGGUUAAUAUUCCCGUACUUGGUGUUACUGCGAAGGGGGGACGGAGAAGGCUAUGUUGGCCGGGCGACGGUUGUCCCGGUUUAAGCGUGUAGGUGUGUGUUCCAGGUAAAUCCGGUUCACUUUAACACUGAGGCGUGAUGACGAGGCACUACGGUGCUGAAGCAACAAAUGCCCUGCUUCCAGGAAAAGCCUCUAAGCAUCAGGUAACAUCAAAUCGUACCCCAAACCGACACAGGUGGUCAGGUAGAGAAUACCAAGGCGCUUGAGAGAACUCGGGUGAAGGAACUAGGCAAAAUGGUGCCGUAACUUCGGGAGAAGGCACGCUGACACGUAGGUGAAGUGAUUUACUCAUGGAGCUGAAGUCAGUCGAAGAUACCAGCUGGCUGCAACUGUUUAUUAAAAACACAGCACUGUGCAAACACGAAAGUGGACGUAUACGGUGUGACGCCUGCCCGGUGCCGGAAGGUUAAUUGAUGGGGUCAGCGCAAGCGAAGCUCCUGAUCGAAGCCCCGGUAAACGGCGGCCGUAACUAUAACGGUCCUAAGGUAGCGAAAUUCCUUGUCGGGUAAGUUCCGACCUGCACGAAUGGCGUAAUGAUGGCCAGGCUGUCUCCACCCGAGACUCAGUGAAAUUGAACUCGCUGUGAAGAUGCAGUGUACCCGCGGCAAGACGGAAAGACCCCGUGAACCUUUACUAUAGCUUGACACUGAACAUUGAGCCUUGAUGUGUAGGAUAGGUGGGAGGCUUUGAAGCGUGGACGCCAGUCUGCGUGGAGCCAACCUUGAAAUACCACCCUUUAAUGUUUGAUGUUCUAACGUGGACCCGUUACCCGGGUUGCGGACAGUGUCUGGUGGGUAGUUUGACUGGGGCGGUCUCCUCCUAAAGAGUAACGGAGGAGCACGAAGGUUGGCUAAUCCUGGUCGGACAUCAGGAGGUUAGUGCAAUGGCAUAAGCCAGCUUGACUGCGAGCGUGACGGCGCGAGCAGGUGCGAAAGCAGGUCAUAGUGAUCCGGUGGUUCUGAAUGGAAGGGCCAUCGCUCAACGGAUAAAAGGUACUCCGGGGAUAACAGGCUGAUACCGCCCAAGAGUUCAUAUCGACGGCGGUGUUUGGCACCUCGAUGUCGGCUCAUCACAUCCUGGGGCUGAAGUAGGUCCCAAGGGUAUGGCUGUUCGCCAUUUAAAGUGGUACGCGAGCUGGGUUUAGAACGUCGUGAGACAGUUCGGUCCCUAUCUGCCGUGGGCGCUGGAGAACUGAGGGGGGCUGCUCCUAGUACGAGAGGACCGGAGUGGACGCAUCACUGGUGUUCGGGUUGUCAUGCCAAUGGCACUGCCCGGUAGCUAAAUGCGGAAGAGAUAAGUGCUGAAAGCAUCUAAGCACGAAACUUGCCCCGAGAUGAGUUCUCCCUGAGACUUAGAGUCUCCUGAAGGAACGUUGAAGACGACGACGUUGAUAGGCCGGGUGUGUAAGCGCAGCGAUGCGUUGAGCUAACCGGUACUAAUGAACCGUGAGGCUUAACCUU
This 2906-nucleotide ribosomal RNA is filed under the name Salmonella enterica. Its description in RNAcentral is "bacterial LSU rRNA". It matches the Rfam family "Bacterial large subunit ribosomal RNA". The record is from RNAcentral. Lineage: Bacteria; Pseudomonadati; Pseudomonadota; Gammaproteobacteria; Enterobacterales; Enterobacteriaceae.